GACGAUCUCUGGCGGCGUGCUUUACACAUGCAAGUCGAACGGAAAGGCUCCUUGCUUGCAAGGGGUACUCGAGUGGCAAACGGGUGAGUAACACGUGUGUGAUCUGCCUUGCACUUCAGGAUAAGCCUGGGAAACUGGGUCUAAUACCGGAUAGGACCAUGCUUUAGUGUGUGUGGUGGAAAGUUUUUUCGGUGCAAGAUGAGCCCGCACCCUAUCAGCUUGUUGGUGGGGUAAUGGCCUACCAAGGCGACGACGGGUAUCCGGCCUGAGAGGGUGUACGGCCACAUUGGGACUGAUACACGGCCCAGACUCCUACGGGAGGCAGACGUGGGGAAUAUUGCACAAUGGGCGCAAGCCUGAUGCAACGACGCCGCGUGGGGGAUGACAGCCUUCGGGUUGUAAACUCCUUUCGCUAGGGAAGAAGCCACUGUGUGGUGACGGUACCAGGAUAAGAAGCACCGGCUAACUACGUGCCACCAGCCGCGGUAAUACCUAGGGUGCGAGCGUUGUCCGGAAUUACUGGGCGUAAAGAGCUCGUAGGUGGUUUGUCGCGUCUUCUGUGAAAUCCCGGGGCUUAACUUCCGGCGUGCAGGCUAUACGGGCAUAACUAGAGUGCCUGUAUGGGAGGCUGGAAUUCCCUGGUGUAGCGGUGAAAUGCGCAUAUAUCAGGAGGAACACCGAUGGCGAAGGCAGGUCUCUGGGCAGUUACUGACGCUGAGGAGCGAAAGCAUGGGUAGCGAACAGGAUUAGAUACCCUGGUAGUCCAUGCCGAAAACGGUGGGCGCUAGGUGUGGGGGUUUUAUUUACGAUUCCCGUGCCGAAGCUAACGCAUUAACCGCCCCGCCUGGGGAGUACGGCCGCAAGGCUAAAACUCAAAGGAAUUGACGGGGGCCCGCACAAGCGGCGGAGCAUGUGGAUUAAUUCGAUGCAACACGAAUAACCUUACCUGGGCUUGACAUACACCGGAUCGCUACAUAUAUGUAUUUUCCCUUGUGGCUGGUGUACAGGUGGUGCAUGGUUGUCUUCAGCUCCUGUCGGGAGAGGUUGGGUUAAGUCCCGCAACGAGCGCAACCCUUGUCUUGUGCUGUCAGCACGGGAUGCUGGGGACUCGCGAGAGAGCUGCCCGGGAUAAAUCGGAGGAAGGUGCGAAUUACCUCGCCUCUUUUGGCCCCUUAUUUCCACGGCUUCACACGUGCUACAAAGGUCCGAACAGGCGGUUGGGAUACCGUGAACGCGAAAAAAUCCCCUUCGAUCCGGUCUCGUUUCGGCAUUUCUCUCUGCUACCCACCUCCUUAAGUCGGCAUCGACUCUAAUCCCAUAUGGGCAACCUUCCGGGGAAUCAUUCCCCGCCCU
This 1353-nucleotide ribosomal RNA is filed under the name uncultured bacterium. RNAcentral's name for it is "partial 16S ribosomal RNA". It matches the Rfam family "Bacterial small subunit ribosomal RNA", at positions 28 to 1381 of the family's 1533-position model. The record is from RNAcentral.